GUCCGGUUGGCUCAAUGGUAGAGCAUCUGUCUUCGGAACAGAAGGUUGAGGGUUCGAGUCCCCCACCGGAUA
Seminavis robusta is the source of this 72-nucleotide non-coding RNA. The record is from the annotation of a GenBank genome assembly. Lineage: Eukaryota; Bacillariophyta; Bacillariophyceae; Naviculales; Naviculaceae.